UACGGGGGGGGCAAGCGUUGUUCGGAAUUACUGGGUGUAAAGGGCUCGUAGGCGGCCAACUCAGUCAGACGUGAAAUCCCUCGGCUUAACCAAGGAACUGCGUCUGAUACUGGAUGGCUUGAGAUUGGGAGAGGGAUGCGGAAUUCCAGGUGUAGCGGUGAAAUGCGUAGAUAUCUGGAGGAACACCGGUGGCGAAGGCGACAUCCUGGACCAACACUGACGCUGAGGAGCGAAAGCCAGGGGAGCAAACGGG
RNAcentral lists this ribosomal RNA (253 nucleotides) under uncultured bacterium. RNAcentral's name for it is "partial 16S ribosomal RNA". It matches the Rfam family "Bacterial small subunit ribosomal RNA", at positions 524 to 776 of the family's 1533-position model. The record is from RNAcentral.